RNAcentral lists this long non-coding RNA (664 nucleotides) under Marmota monax (woodchuck). The record is from RNAcentral. Lineage: Eukaryota; Metazoa; Chordata; Mammalia; Rodentia; Sciuridae.
UUGCAUUUCUCUAUAGGCACUAGAAUAGAGACCCUGAGCUUAAUAGAAGAGAAAGUAGGCCCAAAUCUUCAUGUCAACUUGGGAUCCGACUUCCUUAACAAGACUCCUAAAGCCUAAGAAAUAAAAUCAAGAAUCAAUAAAUGGGAUGGAUUCAAACUAAAAAGCUACUUCUCAGCAAAGGAAACAAUAACGUGAAGAGAGAGUCCAUAGAAUGGGAGAGAAGUUUUACCACAUGCAUCUCAUAUAGAGAGCAUUAAUCUCUAGGAUAUAUAAAGAACUCAAAAAAAACCUUUAACACCAAAAAACCCAAAUAACCCAGUCAAUAAAUGGUCAAAAGAACUGAACAGACACUUCACAGAAGAAGAAAUACAAUUGAUCAACAAAGAUUGUGCAGCUUUAGAAACAGAAUUUAAUUGCUCUGUUUACAGUGAAUUCUUUUCAUUUUCUUCAUGGACUUGCAAAAUCCCACAACCUAUGAAUAGCAAAUUUCAGAGGAAUAAUUAGGUAUGUCUUUUUUAAUGGAAAACUUUUCAAAACAUUAAUUUGCAUGUGUGUAUUUGUGUGUAGGGGAGUUGACAUUUUACAUUAUUUCCAAAUUGCUAUAAAUAUUCCCAGAUACAGCUUUUAAAAUAUAAUUAUAUAUAUAUAUAUAUAUAUAUAUAUA